RNAcentral lists this long non-coding RNA (405 nucleotides) under Dromaius novaehollandiae (emu). RNAcentral's name for it is "lncRNA (ENSDNVG00000014836.1)". Lineage: Eukaryota; Metazoa; Chordata; Aves; Casuariiformes; Dromaiidae. The record is from RNAcentral.
CGAUUGCUUGCUCAGAGUGAGUCACGGCAGCGUCUGGCAAGCCCUGGCUGUGCGCAAGGUAAACGCUCCAGGCUUUCUUUUCCGCAAGCCCUUUCAGCGUGCACCAUCACAAGUGAGAGGAUGGCUCAUUUUCACAAGCAAGUUCCAUGAUCGGCGGAUCAGACAGAACAUGAUUUUCUCUUCCCUUAUGCUGCUCUGACUCUACUGAGUUCAGAAGGAUGACUCUUGAUUUAUGCUGGGCAAGAAAGGCAAUGCUCUGAAAGAAAUGACUGCAUUUUCCUAACCUCCAAAGGAGGAAAAAAAAGAGAUACAGAAAGAAAAGCCAGCAGCAGGCAUCAGAAGAGACAGAAAGAAGUAAGAAAGCAGUCGGCAGCCGGAGACAGGUGAGGCACAGGAUCUGGGCAG